This 56-nucleotide ribosomal RNA is filed under the name Mammillaria senilis. RNAcentral describes it as "partial 26S ribosomal RNA". Lineage: Eukaryota; Viridiplantae; Streptophyta; Magnoliopsida; Caryophyllales; Cactaceae. The record is from RNAcentral.
UGAUCUUAGCUCAGGCAGAGCUGCCCACUGAGUUUCAGCAUAUCAAUAAGCGGAGG